GAGAGAAGGUGAAUGGGAAGGGGGUUACAAACAGAAAAGAGACAACAACAACAAAAAAAUAUUCUGACUGGAUAUAUUCAGGAGCAACUUGGGAAAAACCUAACCUUUAGUGACACAAGCUAACUACUCUGACUGAUACACUUAUAUAAAUUAUGGCAGUGCUAAAGGGCUGAACACAAAAGAUCUGUCACUAUUCACUUUCAUUGUAUGGAAAACAACUGCAGUGAGAGUGAAUGGUUAGGCUGUCAUUCUGCCUUUUGUGUUCUACGGAAGAAAGAAAAGUCAUGGUUUGGAUCAACGUGAGGAUGGAAAGAGGGAUUAUCUUGGUGAUUUUAGGCAAAGAUUAGAGGACAGCAGAUGCCCUCUGUGGAUGGAGAGGAGCAUGAGGGAGGGGAGAAAGAAGAGAUGAAUAAAGGUAUAAGCAGAAAAACUGAUGAGCGUGCACGUGAGCAAGUAAUCAAAGUGAUGCUGGUGGGGGAAAAAAUGAUUUUUUUUUUAUUUUACAAAGGAGAUUCAUACAAACACACUGCUUAGUCUGCUGUCUAGAGCAGUGUCCUGUGCCUGUUUGAUCAGUCAUUAGUGCAAUGAAUAAAUAAUACACCGUUUAUACAUUUAAUUAGUUUUAUUGUACACAGGGAGUUUUCACAUAUACAAUUUGUACACAUUUUUUUACAAUUAUAUAAUUUUUCUCUACUCAUUUUUUAAAAUCUUUUUGUUUUUUGAUGACAAGUCAAGUAACAUUUAGGCAAACAAAAUAAGAAAGAAACAAAUUAAAUGUUUAGGAAAGAAGCGCGAAUACAAAAUACAAACACAUGAAGUAAAAUAACAUCCGAUUAUGUGUCAGAAUCAGAGAGUCACUAAUUUACCAUCAUCCUCUCUCCAUUCCCUAAUGCUGUUCUCUGAUUGGUUCCCUAAGCUCAUACUGCACUUUGACUGAAUAGCCUCUAAAUGGAUGUACAUGAUGAGGAAAAAUCUGCAUAUGCUGAGAUUACAGCCCCAUUCAUUUCUCACACAGAUCUAGAAACUCAGAAUUUCGGCACUUUUACCUUGAAAUUCACCUGCAUGGCAUUUUGUAUAUUUCUGUGUUUGUGUGUGUAUACAUAUAUUUGGACUCUUGGCAUUCAUGUAGCCUAACUGAAACAGCAGAUGACAUCAAAAUCAUGGGUUUCCAUGUAUACAUCUCGGAUAAAAGCGUCUGACAAAUGCAUAAAUGUAAAUGUAAUGUAUAAAUGAUUAAAAAUUAGCCUGGCAGUAAUAUAAGUAAACCUUGAACAUGCAUAAAACAGACUCACCCACAGAUUUAUUGAGAGUGUGUGUGCAUGUAAGCUUAUGAAAAUGUGUGUAUGUGAGUAAUAUAGUACAUCAGAGGACAAAAACACGCUUGUGAUCACUUGUGCACUGACCCAAUGAUGAGGAUCUGGGUCGUUUAAACUCACAAACACAUUCAGUAAUGUUUUAAAGGAACAGCUCACCCCAAAAUUAUAUCAUAUAAAACAUAUGACUUGUGAAAUAGUAAUUAAUGACAGAAUUCUUAUUUUUGGGUGACUGUCCCUUUAAGAAUAUUGUGUAUAAGUGCACAACAUUAUGAUCAAAUAAAUGUCUACACAUCCAUAGAUUUGCUUGAACCCUUUUACCAUAUUUAAAGCACUGGAUAAAACAAAAGGAAGUGAGCACAGUAAGGAAACAUACACACACUCACCGUGAGCACACACACAGAAGCUCAUUUACUGUAUACUCUUACACGACAACCAUGAACAUGUCUAAUAUCGCUGUGUCAUUUUAAGUGCAUUACAGUGAUUUUGGCAGGAAGCCUAAAAUACUGAACAUAUAAUUAACAGAGCACCACUGUAUUCUCAAUCUGACUCACAAGAAACUUACAUCUACACACACACCUUAUUGUGUAUGUUUAUAGAACAAUCAUCACAUAAUCUCCUUAUCAGUUUGGAAACGCAUUUGUUCUUUUACUCACUCACUCACUCAUUCA
Ctenopharyngodon idella (grass carp) is the source of this 1984-nucleotide long non-coding RNA. RefSeq lists it as uncharacterized. The record is from RefSeq and is a predicted model, not a curated record. The transcript is spliced from 2 exons. NCBI's taxonomy places the organism in Eukaryota, Metazoa, Chordata, Actinopteri, Cypriniformes, Xenocyprididae.